UUAACAUGAUAACAUCUCGUUCUAAGGAAGCAUAAAACUCACUGAAACCAUGACAAAGAAUUGGCGACGAAUACAAUCUUUGACAUAGAAUAUCCUAUUCUAUGUCAAAGUGUCUCAGUGAAGAACCUUCAUGAUUCAGAGCCCUAUUGAGCUGCCGGAUUUUAUGUAGCUGAAGCCCUGUGAAUCUUUGACUUGUGUAGCCUAUUCAUCCCCAUGUCAUUUGCACUUUGGACAUCAAAAAGAUUUAUCAUCUCGUCAGCAGCCGUUACCGGCGCCUGAAUAAUCGAUGUCCUAAAAGUCCCAGGAAGGUUUGUAGUCCGAACUGUAGCUAAGUAUUCAGGACAGACUAGUCAAGAUAUUCUGCAUUUUUCAAGUGGAGCAUCACAUAUACCUCCAAGAAAUAUGGAAGUUUCUGCAACAAACAUUCUUCAGCACCUGCUUCAAUUUUUUUUAAUCAAACUUUUUAUAAUUUGCUAAUGUAAUGGUUACAAAUGCUAGUGAAAACUUAGUCAAAUUCAGCUGUUAGUUAAGUAUGGACUCAUACCAGCUAGACAGCAGCUUGGUAUGUAUUAAGAUAUAGAGAAUGUACUUUAUUUUCUUAUCAAUUUAGAGUACCCUUCUGUUGAUAUGGUUAAUGAUAAGAGUUAUUUUGCCUCAGAUUGCUCUUACCAGCUUGAAAGCAGCCAUCAAAUAACUUGCUAUGUUUCAGGAACAAAUUUUAAUUCCUUGUCAAUUUAGUGUAUCAUAGCUAGAUCAGUGUGUUCCAGAGUGUAUAGUUCAUUAAGUAUCCUGCUAAAGUGAUAUCAGUCACCAGGUGGAGUUCUAAGCGAAAGGACGUAUAAUAAUUUAUUAGAAAGCUAUAUUGAUUUAAUAUCAGUCAGCAGUUAGCCCAAUUUCAAUGAUAAAAAUAACGUGUAGUCAGAGAUGGCCUUAAGAUGCGUUAACUACAUAAGCAGGUAAUAUUUUUGUCGUGGGAGCGAGUGAUGACUGAUAGUUUUUCUUAAUAUAUGUGUCUUACAAAUACUGUUGAAGUAGUUCCCGUUAUGGUAGGUUCUUUGGAGUUAAAGCCUUAAACUGUAGUUUGUUGCAGUCACUGAAUCAAAGUAACAAAGUUAAUUCAGGGCUAAUAUCUUUAAACUUCUAGCUCUUGAGUUAUUGUAACAUAUAUAAAGGCUUGAUUUAAUGCAGGAUGGAUGUUCACAGAGUAAAGUAUUUGAAUAUUUGCAUUCUAGGACAGAAUAUUUCAAAUUUUUUUAAAUUUUGGCCUAAAUUUUGGUAACAAAUGGACCACUUGCCAUAAUGUUUCAGUAGUUAAGUAUAAUCUUAUUUUGACGAAGUUUACCACAAAAAUAAUCCAGCUUUGUAAGCCUUGGAUACAAGGUUAAAAUUAGUCUUCUAAAUACUGGAAAGUUACCCAAUCAGAAGCAUUAUUAUUAUAGCAGCUCUAUAUUUCAAGACACUGCUAGCAUGUAAAAGUUCUAACUCUUAAUUAUUACAUUAUUAAGAUUAGUUUUCUUAUAUCAAUAAGAGUUGUAGGUUCUAUAUAUGAAUCAAUAAUUAAGCAUAAAUAAAAACGGCUGAAUUAAAGAGAGCUUGUUGUUGACGGUAAAAGUACAGUUUAUAAUUAAUUGAUAACCUAGCUCAGUUAAGAGAAGGGCUUAUUCUGCAUAGUGGAACUGACAGGUAUAAAUUCUUGAAUGAUUCAAUUCAUCUUGAGACUAACCAGUAUCUUUUUCGUAGAACUCAAUAUCGGCCAAGGCUUUACAUGUAAAAGGGAAAUUCAUUUCUUGGUGAGCUUUUUAUAUUACUUCAUUAGCCCCUGAUCAAAAUGUUUCAAUCGACAAAUAAGACAGGGGUAUCUCUUAGCUAAUAAGAUUCUCACGAUUGGGCUGAGUUUACAUGUAAGGUGUAAAUUUAAGUAAAAUUAAAAUUGGAGAAGUUGGAAGCAAAGAAGAAAAUUUUUAAGAGAAUUGGAAGGCAAUAAAUGGGAAAUAUUUAGCUGUCUGGGUUUUUGUUAUGGGCAAUCUUAACCUGAGGGUGAUUCAAUAUGUAGCCAAGUAAGCAAAUUGCUCUCAAAAAAUAUCCAGGAAUUAGUAAGUUUUCCUGCCAUAUAUUUGGAGAUAGGUUUCACAGGGAAAACCAGCGAAUGACUGAAUUCGCAAUUGUUAAACCGCGAUCGGGGGGUUGUGCGGGUGUGUGGCGGCUUCCACUGAAAAUAAUUUUGUGUAGCUAACAGAACUGAAAUUUUAACAGUAUAUAGCUGUCUGGACUUAGGAACAAAGACAUUGAAGGCAGUGCUGAUACAUACAAUUUAAUAAGGAAAUAUUUCAAAUGCUCACGGCUUUGUUGAAUUAAAUGACUGGAGGAAUUCACACUUAUUAAUCUGAUUUAUUGGUUAUGUAAAUUUUAGAACCCUCUGUGCAACAAAGUCUUCACAUAUGUAGAUUUUAUUUUAUUUCAUUUUAUUUUAAUUUUUUUAGGUUGAUAUGGUAAAAUAUCUCAUACCAUUUCCCUUGAAUUUCAGUAAUAUAAUCAAAUCAAUAUUCAAUUGAUCAUUGUAAAAAUUUGUACUUGAAAAUUUGAGUAAGGGAAGAUGUUUGUGAAAGCAAGUUGUUCAUUACUUUGUUCAAAUUGUUCAUAAUUUUGUUGUACGAGAAUUAAUAUAUUUCAGCUUUCUGUUUAGUUUUCACCAAG
Long non-coding RNA from Macrobrachium nipponense, 2694 nucleotides. RefSeq lists it as uncharacterized. The transcript has 4 exons. The record is from RefSeq and is a predicted model, not a curated record. NCBI's taxonomy places the organism in Eukaryota, Metazoa, Arthropoda, Malacostraca, Decapoda, Palaemonidae.